CCUACGGGGUGCAGCAGUGGGGAAAAUUGGACAAUGGGCGAAAGCCUGAUCCAGCCAUGCCGCGUGUGUGAAGAAGGCCUUCGGGUUGUAAAGCACUUUCAGUGGGGAAGAAAGCCUUGGGGCUAAUACCCUCGAGGAAGGACAUCACCCACAGAAGAAGCACCGGCUAACUCCGUGCCAGCAGCCGCGGUAAUACGGAGGGUGCGAGCGUUAAUCGGAAUUACUGGGCGUAAAGCGCGCGUAGGCGGUCUGAUAAGCCGGUUGUGAAAGCCCCGGGCUCAACCUGGGAACGGCAUCCGGAACUGUCAGGCUAGAGUGCAGGAGAGGAAGGUAGAAUUCCCGGUGUAGCGGUGAAAUGCGUAGAGAUCGGGAGGAAUACCAGUGGCGAAGGCGGCCUUCUGGACUGACACUGACGCUGAGGUGCGAAAGCGUGGGUAGCAAACAGGAUUAGAUACCCGUGUAGUC
Molecule: ribosomal RNA, 465 nt
Filed under: Vreelandella stevensii
Lineage: Bacteria; Pseudomonadati; Pseudomonadota; Gammaproteobacteria; Oceanospirillales; Halomonadaceae
Description: partial 16S ribosomal RNA
Rfam family: Bacterial small subunit ribosomal RNA
Source: RNAcentral